GACGAACGCUGGCGGCGUGCCUAAUACAUGCAAGUAGGACGCACAGCCUAUACCGUAGCUUGCUACACCAUAGGCUGUGAGUUGCGAACGGGUGAGUAACGCGUAGGUAACCUGCCUAUUAGAGGGGGAUAACUAUUGGAAACGAUAGCUAAUACCGCAUAACAGUAUGUAACACAUGUUAGAUGCUUGAAAGAUGCAAUUGCAUCGCUAGUAGAUGGACCUGCGUUGUAUUAGCUAGUAGGUAGGGUAAUGGCCUACCUAGGCAACGAUACAUAGCCGACCUGAGAGGGUGAUCGGCCACACUGGGACUGAGACACGGCCCAGACUCCUACGGGAGGCAGCAGUAGGGAAUCUUCGGCAAUGGGGGGAACCCUGACCGAGCAACGCCGCGUGAGUGAAGAAGGUUUUCGGAUCGUAAAGCUCUGUUGUUAAGGAAGAACGAGUGUGAGAANGGAAAGUUCAUACNGNGACGGUACU
This 477-nucleotide ribosomal RNA is filed under the name uncultured bacterium. Its description in RNAcentral is "bacterial SSU rRNA". It matches the Rfam family "Bacterial small subunit ribosomal RNA", at positions 28 to 479 of the family's 1533-position model. The record is from RNAcentral.